UACGGGGGGGGCAAGCGUUGUUCGGAAUUACUGGGCGUAAAGGGCUCGUAGGCGGCCAACUAAGUCAGACGUGAAAUCCCUCGGCUUAACCGGGGAACUGCGUCUGAUACUGGAUGGCUUGAGUUUGGGAGAGGGAUGCGGAAUUCCAGGUGUAGCGGUGAAAUGCGUAGAUAUCUGGAGGAACACCGGUGGCGAAGGCGGCAUCCUGGACCAAUUCUGACGCUGAGUGAGCGAAAGCCAGGGGAGCAAACGGG
Molecule: ribosomal RNA, 254 nt
Filed under: uncultured bacterium
Lineage: Bacteria
Description: partial 16S ribosomal RNA
Rfam family: Bacterial small subunit ribosomal RNA
Source: RNAcentral